Molecule: ribosomal RNA, 863 nt
Filed under: uncultured bacterium
Lineage: Bacteria
Description: bacterial SSU rRNA
Rfam family: Bacterial small subunit ribosomal RNA
Source: RNAcentral
GUUUGAUCAUGGCUCAGAACAAACGCUGGCGGCGUGCCUAACACAUGCAAGUCGUACGAGAAAGGGUCCUUCGGGACCUGAGUAAAGUGGCGCACGGGUGAGUAACGCGUGGAUAAUCUGCCCUUCAGUUGGGAAUAACUCAUCGAAAGGUGGGCUAAUACCGAAUAAUACUGUGAGACCUCGGUCGAUCAGCCAAAGAGAGCCUCUGCUUGCAUGCCCUCGCUGAAGGAUGAGUCCGCGUACCAUUAGCUAGUUGGUAGGGUAAUGGCCUACCAAGGCGACGAUGGUUAGCUGGUCUGAGAGGAUGAUCAGCCACACUGGAAUUGAGAUACGGCCCAGACUCCUACGGGAGGCAGCAGUCGAGGAUAGUCUACAAUGGUCGAAAGGUUGAUAGUGCGACGCCGCGUGAACGAAGAAGCAUUUCGGUGUGUAAAGUUCUUUUCCAUGGGAGCAGGGGCCUGGUGGUUAACAGCGACCGGGUCUUGAUAUUACCAUGGGAAUAAGCCACGGCUAACUCCGUGCCAGCAGCCGCGGUAAUACGGGGGUGGCGAGCGUUGUCCGGAAUUACUAGGCGUAAAGGGCAGGUAGGCGGUUUUAUAAGUUAAUCGUUAAAGACCCCGUGCUCACCAUGGGGAGGGCGGUUGAUACUGUAAGACUGGAAGCGAGUGGGGGAAGACGGAAUUCCUGGUGUAGCGGUGGAAUGCGCAGAUAUCAGGAGGAACACCGAAGGCGAAGGCAGUCUUCUACGCUUGUCUUGACGCUAAACUGCGAAGGUGCGGGUAUCAAACAGCGAUUAGAUACCCUGGUAGUCCGCACAGUAACGAUAAUCACUGGGUGUCGGGGGGAUAUGCCUGUCGGUGCCC